GUGGGGAAUAUUGGGCAAUGGGGGCAACCCUGACCCAGCGACGCCGCGUGAGGGAAGAAGGCCUUAGGGUCGUAAACCUCUGUUGUGUGGGAAGAAGGAAGUGACGGUACCACACGAGGAAGUCCCGGCUAACUACGUGCCAGCAGCCGCGGUAAUACGUAGGGGACGAGCGUUGUCCGGAAUUACUGGGCGUAAAGGGCGCGUAGGCGGUCAUUUAAGUCAGCUGUGACAUGGUCCGGCUCAACCGGAUCAGGGGGUUGGAACUGGAUGACUGGAGUGCUGGAAAGGCAAGUGGAAUUCCCAGUGUAGCGGUGAAAUGCGUAGAUAUUGGGAAGAACACCGGUGGCGAAGGCGACUUGCUGGCCAGCAACUAACGCUGAGGCGCGAAAGCCAGGGGAGCAAACGGGAUUAGAAACCCUGGUAGUCC
RNAcentral lists this ribosomal RNA (427 nucleotides) under uncultured bacterium. RNAcentral's name for it is "partial 16S ribosomal RNA". It matches the Rfam family "Bacterial small subunit ribosomal RNA", at positions 354 to 796 of the family's 1533-position model. The record is from RNAcentral.